This 367-nucleotide ribosomal RNA is filed under the name uncultured eukaryote. RNAcentral describes it as "SSU rRNA". It matches the Rfam family "Eukaryotic small subunit ribosomal RNA", at positions 587 to 972 of the family's 1831-position model. The record is from RNAcentral.
AGCUCCAAUAGCGUAUAUUAAAGUUGUUGCAGUUAAAAAGCUCGUAGUUGAACUUCUGUCUGUAUGUCAACCCUACAAGGAUCUGAUAAGACGGGCAUCCCCGAUCGACGGUUUACUGUACUUAAGUGUUCAUAUAACCUGAACCGGAUUUUACUUUGAAAAAAUUAGAGUGUUUCAAGCAGGCGAUUUGCUGGAAUACAUUAGCAUGGAAUAAUAGAAGAUGACCACCAUACAUUUUAUUGGUAUAUUGUUGGAGGUAAUGAUUAACAGGGACAGUUGGGGGCAUUAGUAUUUAAUUGUCAGAGGUGAAAUUCAUUGAUUAAUUAAAGACUAACUUAUGCGAAAGCAUUUGCCAAGGAUGUUUUCA